This 497-nucleotide ribosomal RNA is filed under the name uncultured bacterium. RNAcentral's name for it is "partial 16S ribosomal RNA". It matches the Rfam family "Bacterial small subunit ribosomal RNA", at positions 28 to 507 of the family's 1533-position model. The record is from RNAcentral.
GAUGAACGCUGGCGGCGUGCCUAAUACAUGCAAGUCGAGCGAACAGAUGAGGAGCUUGCUCCUCUGACGUUAGCGGCGGACGGGUGAGUAACACGUGGAUAACCUACCUAUAAGACUGGGAUAACUUCGGGACACCGGAGCUAAUACCGGAUAAUAUAUUGAACCGCAUGGUUCAAUAGUGAAAGACGGUUUUGCUGUCACUUAUAGAUGGAUCCGCGCCGCAUUAGCUAGUUGGUAAGGUAACGGCUUACCAAGGCAACGAUGCGUAGCCGACCUGAGAGGGUGAUAGGCCACACUGGAACUUAGACACGGUCCAGACGCCUAAGGGAGGCAGCAGUAGGGAAUCUGCCGCAAUAGGCGAAAGCCUGACGGAGCAACGCCGCGUGAGUGAUGAAGGUCUUCGGUUCGUAAAACUCUGUUAUUAGGGAAGAACAAAUGUGUAAGGAAAUAUGCACGUCUUGACGGUACCUAAUCAGAAAGCCACGGCUAACUACGUG